GGCAGAGUCCCUCUCCUGCCACCGAGUCCAGGGGCUCAGAACAAAGACCCUGAGGCCCGGCUCGGGCUCCCGAACUGCCGACAAGGUGCGGCCUCGAUGCCAGAGGGUGCUGUGGGGCCUCCUGUCUCCUGCAUUCGGAGGCCGCUCGCCUUGCCCCUCAGGUCAGAUGCAAGACCCAUGUUUCAGCUCCAGCCAGCCCACUCCCUGCUGAGGCAGAGGCUAGGAGGCUCUUCCCUUCUUCCUUGCACAGCGGGGCUCCUUGCAGCACACGAAGGGCACGGGGCACACGUCCCUCCCCUCCCGCUCCCUGUGCUGACCCAGGAGGACACCGAGCCCUUUCUGGGAGGACAGCGUUCAGUGGGGCUUCGUCGCUGUGCUGUGGACGGCAGCGAGCACUUCCGGCUCAACAUUUCUCCCCCUCAGCGGACACACCAGACCUGUUCUUGUCACCAACGAUCUGUCUGACCCGAAAGGCACUCCAGGAUGAAUGUGUCCACCCUUCAGAGUCUAAAAGAACUCUGCUGCUUCCAACGCCUGCCGUGUUACUUCAUUCGUAAUCCAUAACAUCCUUCCUGUUGUGGGGUCAGAAGGGACCCCUCGGAGGGUGACAAGAUCCAGGCCCUUUUUAGAGGGUGGAAAAUGCAGGCUCUGUGUGGCUGAGGGCAGCAAACAACGUCCAGGCAACUUGGUAAUUUGAAGCUGACAGCCUGUGGUUUCACACCCAGUCUGUGCAGGCCACCACCCGCCUCAAGUGUCCCUUCGAGUGGGUGACUUCCCCGAACAAGCUGCUCUGGAAAGUUCCCCAGAGCCCACAAGGCCAAACCUAACAAGCCCAAUCAAGUGUGGACCCUGAGGGGUGGAGGUGAGACCCCCACUGUAUAAAAGAGGACUCGAGGGUGACAGCUCUGAGCACACCACUCCUUCUGGGGCGGCUUUGUCCUGCUUCCUACAACACCUACAAUAAAAUCUCUUCACUGUGCUCUGUUCUCCGACUCCUCUUCCGCUUUCUGUGUCAGAGAGAGACAGGCCCAGCAACGGUGAGUCUGGGGACCCCUACACCCCCGACCCACCAGAUUUAACAAUGUGUUCAUUCUAUAUCUGUUUGAGAGUCAUGAUUUUUAUUGUUUUGAAAACUAUCUGAAGGUGCUAGAUAGAGGGAAGGGCCCACCACUAAAACAAUAUUUCCCGGGGUUGCCUUGGCUUCAUCAAAUGUUUAUGUUUCAAAGUUGUAAGGGCCGGGGAUGUAGCUCAGUGGCACUAAGCCUGCCUUGCAAGUGCAAGGUCCUGAGUUCAAUCCCUGGUACCAAAAAUCAAUUAAAAAGUUGUAUGGCACUGUGUUUAAGAGGGACAGUCGGAGCUUCUGUUUACAUCCUGGGUGACUUGGUGUCCAGUACCCACUCAGAUGCCUCCUUGGCAUGAGGGAGACCAAUGUUAAUUAGGCUACCACGGCAUAGUGAUGACAAGAGUGACUGUGGACGCCGGGUGGCUCAUUGGCACCUGCCCUGUUGCCGCGAGGCAGCCCCGGGCUGAUUUCCUGCAUGGCUCGGCAGUCUGAAGUCUUCUGUACUCAUGCAGGGGCUGCUCAAGUGGCUCCUUCUGCAGGACAGAAAUCUGCCGAGCUCUGUACAGAGGGCUCAGGAAAAGCAGGAACUGUUCAUUGGUCCCCAUCGCUGCUGUACCGAUUUGCCACAAACUUUGUGAUACUUCAAACAACACAGCUUCAGCUCAGGCCCUGAAAGCCACUGGAAGGGGUAGCAGGAGCCAAGACAUAGACUCGAAGUUAUGAGUCUAUCGACAAAUGAAUUGAAAGAGAAAAUGCGGUCUCUAUACUAGCGGACUGGCACUCAGCCGUAGGAAAGCAUGACGUCCUGUCAUUUGUGGCCACAUGGAUGAGAACGGAGGGCAUUAUGAAUAGGCCGAAAGACAGAUAGGUGUGUUCUCACUCAUGUGUGGAUGCUAAAAAGAUGAUGAGGGAGAAGUAGAGAAUAGAAUUCUGGUGUCUGCAGGCUGGAAAGGAGAGAGGGGCGUGACAGUGCAUCAGUCAGCUUCGCAGUGUGACAGGAUCCGAAAUUACUGUGGCUCGUGUUUCAGAGGCUGCAGCUUCAGGGCUGUGGUGUGGAGCUUCUCGAGGCAGGGAGUGCGGGUGCAGCUGCCUGCUCCCCUUAUGUUGGCUCAGAAGCAAAGACAAGCAAGAAGGGACUGCCCCAGUUUCCCUGCAGGACACACGCGCCCUCGUGUCCUCCAGCACCUCCGGCUUCUCUGAGUCCUUGGCCCUGGCCCUCUCUCCAUGGCUCCCCACUCCACCUGUGCUUUGUCCUCCCGCCUCCUCCUUCUGUUCUUGCCCUUCUUGCCUUAAAUCAUGUCAGGAUUCUCUCGUGUUAUUGAGCCACCUGGGGACCCUGGAGCGUUGUCACGCCCGAAGAACUUUGACACAGGUUACACAAUCACAGGUUCCGGGGCAGGAUGUCGCUGCCUUUAUAGGCCAUCACUCUGUCCAAACUCCUGGGAGACAGACGCCAGCAGCGUGGAGAGUAGACCUCGCCUAAUCCACUGCCAUGGAUGAGUUCAUCUCGGCCUUCCCGACAAAUUUGUCGCAAAGGAAUUUUCAGCAAUUGGCUGCCGAUUUCGUGCCUUAGUAUGCUACCUUAAUCAGUGAGACCGGAGGCAUCUUCCCUCCAGAAGCCCUGGCCAGAAUCCAAGCGGCUUUCAAGGAGGGGAAUCUACAGGCUGUGGUGGACCUGAUCCAAGAAAUACUCGGUGCGGCAGAAAAUGCGGUCCUGGAGCUGGCUGUGAUCGGGGAGUCCGGGACCGGCAAGUCCAGCUUCAUCAACGCCCUGAGAGGGCUUGCUCACGGCGAGGAGGGGGCAGCCGAUGUGGGGGUCGUGGAGACCACCAUGAAGAAGACCCCCUAUCAACACCCAAAAUAUCCCAACGUGACCUUCUGGGACCUGCCUGGAACCGGGACGGCCAGAUUCGCCCCGGACACCUACCUGGAGACAGUGGGGUUCGCCAGCUUUGACUUCUUCAUCAUCAUCUCCUCCUCCCGCUUCAGCCUCAGUGAUGCUCUCCUGGCCCAGAAAAUCAAGGAAUUGGGGAAGAAAUUCUACUUUGUUAGAGCCAAGGUGGACAGCGAUUUAGAUAACGAACAGAAAGCCAAACCCCAGUCCUUCAAGAGGGAGAGAGUUCUCCAGCACAUCCGAGACUACUGCCUGGCUAACCUCAGCGACAUAGGAUUGCCUGAUGCUCGCGUCUUCUUGGUCUCCAACUUUGAUCUGUGUGACUUCGACUUCCCCCUCCUGGAGACGACUCUGCUGGCGGAGCUUCCUGCUCACAAGCGCCAAGCCUUCGCACUCAUGUUGCCCACGCUGUCCGAUGCUUCUGUCGAGCUGAAGAGAGGUUUCCUCAGGGAGAAGAUCUGGCUGGAUGCUGUGAAGUCCUCGGCUUUGGCCUUCAUCCCCUUUGCACCCAUCGUCAAAGGCUUUGAUUUGCCUGAGCAGGAAGCGUGCCUGAAGCUCUACCGAAGCUAUUUCGGUCUGGAUGAUGAGUCGAUUGAAGAGAUUGCUGAGAAGCUGGGCACUUCUGUGCAGGAUAUCAAGGGCUACACCAAGUGCUUGGAUUUCUGGCCCCUUGUGAAGGAUGACAGUAUAGUAGCAAAGGCCAUGCACUGUGUCAAAACCUUCUGCUCAGUGAAUGGAGGUCUCGCAUCUGUUGCCUGCCAGUUUCUGAAAAUCUGCUUUCUACGUUUGAAAUUCCUCGAUACAGUGGCUGAUGAUGCUAAACUUCUCUUGCGCAAGAUUAUAAGCGCUCAAGCCUGAGUGAAUGAGGUAGAAGAACUGCGCCUGGCCUCAAAGAGCUGGAAAUGGACCGCAGGCCUUGCAUUGGAAGGGAUGGUGGGCUUCCUGCCAGUCCUGAGCCAGUGUCCCCCAGGGUAGAAGAAGUGUCUGUCCAGCCAUAGCUGCAUGUGGUACCUCACUGCUGUGCAAAUAUAGCUUGGCCAUAGCCUGUUUUCUGAAGAUAUUGAUCUAUUUUGAUUGAAUCCUGACACUACCAUAGUAUCUAUCAGCUUUCAGGUAAUCACAUGUGAGGUAGUCUGCUAAUUUCCAUUAUUUCUUCUGAUAGAAAACAUUUUGUAAUAAUCACAAUAAAUAUUAUAGUCAUUUUAUUAUUUUUAUUUAUAUUUUUAUUUCAUUUUGUUAUUUUUAUUAUUUUUCUCUCUAUUGCCAUUUCAGUACCUUCUUCACCAAAAUAAGAGAAGAUCCACAAAUAUGGACACAUGGUUAAAUGAAUAGUAAAAAUAAGUGUUUUGGGAAAAUGCAGCAGGACCUGGAGGGAGGAGGCCGAGAGAGGAUUAGAGAAAUGGUCUUGGAUAUCACAUGUUCAGACCCUCGGUUUUGUCUCUAGGAAUUUCUCAACACUGGAUAGGCUGAAAGUCCAAUGGAUGAGGCAAAAUGAAGAACAGGAGAUGGGAGAGUGAAAGUGAAUUGAACUGCAUUAAGAAGGAAAGUUGGUUGCUCUUACUCAAGUCUUUACCUCAAACCUCUGAAAUGGGAUAAUCAAAUGGACCUGACUCAAUGUUUGGGGCCUGGGAGACCACCCUGUUGAUUAUGUCCAAAGCAGGCUAUAAGCAAUGCAGGCUAUAAAGAGUUAACCCUGCCAUUGGCUUGCUUUAAGACGUGAGUCCAAACAAAGCCUACAUUACUCAGCCAAGGUCAGAGUGACUUGCAUCCAAUUUCUGUUCCCAAAAUUAAAACCUUCGUAACUAAAAAGACAAGGUUGUUAACUACAACCUAUAUCUUGUCUGCUCUGUUCCACCCACAAAAUAUAAGCCUUGCCUGCAUCAGCAACGUAUCCCUAGCAACCACAUGUAGCCCCCUUCCCCCAAUUAACAAUGAUUGUGUCACCAAUAAAUAUCGACGGUUCUGGC
Molecule: non-coding RNA, 4924 nt
Organism: Heterocephalus glaber (naked mole-rat)
Lineage: Eukaryota; Metazoa; Chordata; Mammalia; Rodentia; Bathyergidae
Source: RefSeq, a predicted model, not a curated record